CAAUAGCGUAUAUUAAAGUUGUUGCAGUUAAAAAGCUCGUAGUUGAAUUUCUGUCAGGAGUGACCGGGCCUUUGGAUGAACUUCCAUUGUUUUUUGCUCUGUUUGUCGUCUCUAGACAUCCUGAAAUGUUUUUUUUACGAAAUAUUUCUCUUUUACUGUUAGCAAAAUAGAGUGUUCCAAGCAAAGCGUAGUUUUGAAUACAUUAGAAUGGAAUAAGAAGAUAGGACUUUGGUGCUAUUUUGUUGGUUUGCACACCAAGGUAAUGAUUAAUAGGGACAGUUGGGGGUAUUCGUAUUUAAUUGUCAGAGGUGAAAUUCUUGGAUUUAUGAAAGACGAACUACUGCGAAAGCAUUUACCAAGGAUGUUUUCAUUAA
Molecule: ribosomal RNA, 374 nt
Filed under: uncultured eukaryote
Lineage: Eukaryota
Description: partial 18S ribosomal RNA
Rfam family: Eukaryotic small subunit ribosomal RNA
Source: RNAcentral